Molecule: long non-coding RNA, 19701 nt
Filed under: Jatropha curcas
Lineage: Eukaryota; Viridiplantae; Streptophyta; Magnoliopsida; Malpighiales; Euphorbiaceae
Description: long non-coding RNA (JCUR_LNC001233)
Source: RNAcentral
UGGUGCACCCCGAAUUUUUGAGAAAGAGAUUGCAUCAUUUAAUGUGUUUGAGAGUCCGCUUUUCAACUACUUUAAGGAUACCCCUGAUGAGCAAUGGGUCAGGACAAUUGAUUUCACACCAUUCUGCCUUAUUGGGCAUUCAUCUGGCUUAUGUUUGGAGUUUCCUUCCAGCAUUAAUGUUCCGAAAUUUCAGGAGAACUUUUCUUACUAUAAAGAAAGUGAAGGAAUUUUUGUUUUGGAGAAUGGUAAUGCUUUUUCUCGCAAUCUGGAUCUAGUUCCGAUUGUUGGUCCUCCCUCAGGCGUUGAUUUGCCAUUUGAGAUAUUAUUUCGCGUUAAUUUGUUGGUUCAGAAUGGGUGCCUUCCAGGGUCAGCACUUGAUUCUAGUUUUUACAAGUUGGUUGAUCCAAGUAGGAUGAAUAUUGACUGCAUAGAGCAUGCACUUGAGAAGCUUUUUCACUUGAAAGAAUGUUGUUAUGAACCUUCUAGGUGGCUUGAUGAGCAGUACAGAAAGUAUCUUAAGUCUAAGUACCUUCCAAGAUCACCUUCGAUAUCCCUAGACUCUGGUUUGGUAUACGUGCGUAGGGUCCAAAUUACACCAUGCAAAGUCUAUUUUUGUGGUCCAGAGGUUAAUGUCUCAAACCGCGUGAUACGCCACUAUUCAAAAGAUAUUAAUAAUUUUCUCCGUGUGUCUUUUGUUGAUGAGGAGUUAGAGAAAAUUAUGUUUGCUUCAAGAUAUGGGCUCACUGCUGCAGAUAUAAGAGAAUGGAUGGGAAACUUUCGUCAGAUACGAAACGUGGCUAAAUAUGCAGCCAGAUUAGGUCAGUCUUUUGGUUCAUCCACUGAAACACUGAGUGUUAGUAGAAAUGAAAUUGAAAUUCUUCCAGAUGUAGAGGUUGAAAGGGGCAGAACCAAAUAUUUGUUCUCUGAUGGAAUAGGCAAAAUAUCUGCUGAGUUCGCUCGGAGAGUGGCGUUGAAAUGUGGGCACCAAGGUUUCUAUCCAUCUGCAUUUCAAAUUCGUUAUGGUGGGUAUAAAGGUGUUGUGGCUGUUGAUCCAACUUCUUCUAAAAAAUUAUCAUUGAGAAAAAGCAUGUGCAAGUAUGAGUCUGAAAAUACAAAACUGGAUGUUUUGGGUUAUAGCAAGUAUCAGCCUUGUUUUCUGAAUCGCCAAAUGAUUACUCUUCUUUCGACCCUUGGUGUUGCGGACCAUAUCUUUGAGAAGAAACAGAGAGAAGCUGUUGAUCAACUAGAUGCCAUUUUAACAAACUCGUUAAGGGCCCAAGAAGCACUAGAUUUGAUGUCUCCAGGAGAGACCACUAACAUUCUCAACGAAAUGCUUUUGUGUGGUUAUCAGCCUGAUGCUGAACCAUUCCUUUCAAUGAUGCUCCAAAUGUUCCGAGCAUCAAAGUUGCUUGAUCUGCGGACAAAAUCUAGAAUCUUUGUUCCAAAUGGAAGAUCUAUGAUGGGAUGUUUGGAUGAGACAAGAAACUUGGAAUAUGGCCAGGUAUUUGUGCAAUUUUCUGGUAGUAAACAUAAGCAGGUGUAUGAUAAUUCCACCAUGUUUGGAGGCAUUGGAUCAGGCAACCGUUUUGUGAUUGAGGGAAAGGUCAUUGUAGCUAAAAACCCAUGUUUGCACCCAGGUGAUAUUCGUGUUUUAAGGGCUGUGAAUGUACCAGAUUUGCACCAUAUGGUGGACUGUGUUGUUUUUCCACAGAAAGGACCAAGGUAUAUCUCUGUCUCUUCCAACCUUAUAGCUUAGGUCAUUCUUUAGUUAAGUCAAUUUGGUUUCUGGUUUGAGUUGUCUUUGCCGAAGUUCUAUAUGUAUAACUGAGAGUUCUUAGAUUUACUUUUCCAGUUGCAUUUGCAAAGGUACAGAUUUGAAAAAUAGAAAAAUCCCUGCUUUUUUCAUGCAAGACACAGGAAUUUACCUUUUAUCAAAAGAGAACUUGGAAAUAUGCUCUCUUCUUGUCUACUCUCCAAUAUCAUUUCUCUAUUUCUCCAAUGGGUUCUGAACCACAAAGUCCCAACUUCAAAGAUAGCUGGACUCAGUUAUAUAAGAAUGAGAGAGGGAUAGAAAGUUGUGUAUGUGCAGCUAUGUUCCUAUAGAUGUUUAAGUUCUUAUCUUCUGGGUGUCUUUCACAGCGGAUUGAACCUUAUAAUAUCAUUGUUGUUAUUGUAGUUAAUCAUUAUUGCUGUUAUUAUGAUGUUCGCUGUCCAUGUUAUCAUCAUCUAUAUGAUAGUUCUACUUCUGUUGUGUCUGCCUAUGUUUGGGCUGUUUUGGCCUACUUCUGUGGUAUUACUGUAGGAAACUAGUUGAGUUGUGAGAUAACUAGGUCUGUCACAUCAGCUAUCUGAAAUCUUUUCUGUAAGAUAACCACUCCCUUCAAUGAAUGUAACUGGUAUCUGUGUUCCCUUUUAUUAUUUGACAUGUGCAGUAGGCUUCUUGUGGAUAACAGUAGAACGUACCAAUGGAAACUCCUGCUUCCUUAGAAAUACCUAGGCUGUAUUCUGUGGACAUUGCUUCAUCAUCUCUGAUUUAUUUGUCUGAUGAAGCUGACUGACAGAGGCAGGGUGUUAUUAUUGUUUCUAUUUUUUUUUUUUUGUGGGGGGGCGGGGGUGGGAAAGAGAGUUUGGUGGUUGGAGGUUGCAGGGGGAAGACUCCUGUGCUUUGGAAUUUCAAUUGACACUAACAUGGACACCUUACCUCUCUUUGUUUUUCAAGUGCUAACAGAGUAAAAGACUAGUAUUAUAGUGUCCCUUUUCAGAUUUUUUUUUUUUUGUUUUUUUUAAGUGUGAAAACAGUAUUAACAUUAGUAUCUGAAUUGCAAUCUUAGACCUCAUCCAAAUGAAUGCUCGGGUAGUGAUUUAGAUGGAGAUAUCUACUUUGUCUGCUGGGACCCUGAUUUAAUCCCACGUCUGCAAAUCCCACCAAUGGACUAUACACCAGAGCCAAGUUUGCAACUCGAUCAUGAUGUCACAAUUCAGGUACUACAUGUGUACAUAUGAAAUGUCGGAGCAAUUAUAUAUCAUCAACAAUAAUACUAUUGUUUCGCUAUCUUUUAAGAUUAUUCAGUCACUUCAUCAAUUUUUUUUCUCUUCUAUGGUACAUUCUGGUAUUGUCAAACUUAAAGCUGCAAUGCUUCAAAAAUACAUACGUUCCUUAAUUUUUUUUUUUUCUUUAUGACAGAGGAUUUAGUUUUGUACAUAGUUUCAAUACUAAUAGGUGUUUACUUUUAAUUUUUGUUUUUACUUGUGGUGCCUUUAUUUCUGUAUUAUGAUGACUUUACUCCACCUGCAUCUUUUAUGUGUCAAAGUCAUUUUUUGUUUUCUGGAUUAGUUUGCUCUUAUGUAUCUAUAGCAUAUGCUAAUAGACAUGCAUAUGGAUUUUUCUUAUUAUAUAAAGCAAUAAUUUACACAAUUUACAAGAAAAAUAAGAAGCAGAUGGAAAGGGAAUUGCUGAUUAUCUGGUUUUCUGAAUCUCAGGGAAGCUGCAAAAGCAAACUUUGGCCCGGGCCUUUUUAAUUUAUGUGACAAUGAUAUCUUGUACUUUUUAAUUCUUUUAGCUAUCUCAUUUGUGCAAUUUUAAGCAAUAAUCUAACUGUUUUUUUCGGUCCCCUCUGGGCACAAUGCUUCGUUUUUGUGUAAAAGUGGAUGCUUCGAACUACAACGUAAGGUAGUUCAGUCCAAGAGAGUCAUUAUUCUAUCAACCUCAUAACUGGUCCUUUUUUUGAAUGCUUAAAAAAAAAAAAUAGAAAAAGGAAAUGUGAUACUGAAAAAUCCUUUAGAACAGUGAAAUCUUAGGUUUUGUAUCUGUAUGCAUCAAGUUCUAACUGCAAACUCUGUUUUUUGCUUUAGCUUGAUUUUUUUUUUUUUAAUCGUGCAGCUAGAAAACCACAUUUCCCUUUUAUUCACAGAUUUUCAUUUUGCUUUCUACAGGAAGUUGAGGAGUAUUUCACCAAUUACAUCUUAAAUGACAGCUUGGGAAUCAUUUCUAAUGCUCACACCGUCUUUGCUGAUAGGGAACCUGCAAAAGCAAUGAGUAAACCAUGUCUGGAACUUGCAAGUAAAUUUUCAAUUGCAGUUGAUUUUCCAAAAACUGGAGUACCAGCUGAAAUUCAUUCUCAUCUACGUGUCAAAGAAUAUCCUGAUUUCAUGGAAAAGCCUGACAAACCCACCUAUGAAUCUCAGAAUGUGAUUGGAAAGCUUUUCCGAGCAGUGAGAGACAUUGCACCACAUACAAGCUCUAUUAAGUCCUUUACUUUGGAAGUGGCAAGGCAGUGUUAUGACCCUGAUAUGGAAGUUGAUGGUUUUGAGGAUUAUAUAGAUGAUGCCUUCUAUUACAAAACGAAUUAUGAUUACAAAUUGGGUAAUCAUAUGGACUAUUAUGGCAUCAGAACUGAGGCUGAAAUUCUCGGUGGAAGUAUUAUGAAAAUGUCAAAAGCUUUCACCAAGAAAAGGGACGCAGAAGCAAUUGGUUUGGCGGUGAGGUCCUUAAGAAAAGAAGCAAGAUCUUGGUUUAAAGAAAGGGGAAGUGGAUUAGAUUCUGAAGAAGAUGAUGUUUAUGCAAAAGCCUCCGCUUGGUACUAUGUUACUUAUCAUCCUAGUUAUUGGGGUUGCUACAACGAGGGAAUGAAUCGAGAUCAUUUUCUUAGCUUUCCUUGGUGUGUUUAUGACAAGCUGAUCCAGAUCAAGAGGAAGAGAAGGUGUCAAAAUUUAUCAUUGCUUGAACGCCAGUUUGGGCUUGGACUGCAUUUUCAUUAACAAAUGUGAAAUUUUGAACAUGUCUAUAUGUUCAUAGUCUUGGUUUGAGUUUGCCAGCUAAUCCAGAUCAGCGGAACAAAUCAAGGAUCAACCAGGUUCCUACUUUUUUCUCUUUACAGAUUUUCCAUGUAGAUGUGGACUGCUUUUGAGUUUAGAAGGUAAUCAAAAUAUAUGGCUAUACAUAUGGUUAUGAAUAUGUAAUAUUUCAAAGACAAUAUAUGAUGUAAAUGUUUAUGUUCAUAUAAUGGCAGAANNNNNNNNNNNNNNNNNNNNNNNNNNNNNNNNNNNNNNNNNNNNNNNNNNUUUUAUUUGCCUGAUUGUUGAUGCAUUAUCCAUAUUUAGGUGUUAUAUAGCCGUUUUGAGAUACAUGCUAUUCUAGUCGUGCAUGAUCGGUGUUUGUUUUUUUGCUGCAAAUAAUGGGUACUGAUAAUUUGAAUGUUUAACAACAUUUAUUAGUCAGUUUUUCUGGUAUGUAUAACAAAAGCUGCACUGCUAAUUGCUGAUAUGAUAGCUUUUGAUUAUGGCGAUUUUGGUUUCAGAAUAACAGUUAAUUGAGAUCCUUUUCCAUUGCUUGAAAAUGACAAGGGCAUAGCUUCAUGCAUUCUCUUGAGGAACCGUUCAAACAAUUCAUUAACAAUCUCAGCUCCAAAGUGUUUGGUAAUGACUGGUUCUAACCCAGAUUUGAAAUGCAUCAUGAUUGUAUAUUCAGUUGGUUGAUUAUCAGGGCUGCAUUCGCAAUCUGUAGGCUCCAUUCUUUCAAUGCUAAAACACCCACUUUGUUCUAUAAACUGUGUAAGCUCCUUGGGCGUUACACAGUACAAUGGAAUGUUGAAAGAGUCCACAAGUGCUUCACAUAUUAAUCCCUGCAAUCAGGAUUUUGAUUUGGUUAUUUACAUGUUUUAAAUUUUCAUGGGGUUUCACUGUUAUCGUUAAUAUUUAACUUUUCAAACUGUUAUCGUUAAUAUUUAACUAUUGACCAACUAUCAUUAAAAGCUGAUUUUCCAUUGCUGAAUCAAGCAGACCCCUAAAUCUAUAAUUUCAUAUAAUCCACUAGUCUAGUAUGUUUCUAUAUUGUUACCUCUUUUGCCUUGUCCAUGAGGCACGACCCUAAAUGAUUCAGCAAUAUCCCGAUUGGUACAUUCGACGGAGAGACCCCAUCAGGAAUAGAAGGAAUGAUUAUCACCAUCAUGCUUCCCUCUGCAAGUUCUUUUGCUCUGGCAUUCAAGAACAUUCCCAUAUCCUUGCUAAAUUGGGCAGCAAAGGCUUUCACUACUGCUUCUGAUGCACCUGUAUAGUGAACUCUCCCUCCGUUCCAUGCAGGAGAGUCCAUGUCGAACACCUCUUCAGGAACACCAGAAAGCCAAUGUAAUGUGUAGGAGGAAUGCACAAAAUGGAGAGACGAGUCAGGAAACAACUGGGUAUGAUAUGACCUUGGUACCCCUGCUGUAAAAUAUUUCCUGAGGUGGGAGAGACUUGAAAAGGGUAUUAAAGUCGUUAAAUGGAAGAUCAUUAAAGAAAACUUGAAACUGAGGUAUUUGAUCGUAAGUGAAGCCUUCAUUUAUGAACUUUCGCUCCACAGCUUCAAGUAUACUAUGAACAUAGUAAAAGGUGUUUGGUCCUGUUGAACAUCCCAUAUCAGCUAUACAAAAUGCCUUGCUACAUGAAGUUGAUAAAAAUGACUUCGUUUCAAGCUUCUCAUGGAUUGUCUCAUCAAUUAUUCCCUUCAUGAAUUCCAGAAUCCAUUUCUGCAAAAACGAAUUUAAACUUAAUCUUAAAAUACAGAAGUUUCUGCUAUCUUCUUUAAAUAUUUUUCAACAAAAAGAGAACACUACAACUACUUAGUGAUUUAGAAAGUAAAAUACCUGAUGGUGACUGAGGGAGCCCUUGGCAGCAGGCAUCUCGACGCCUAUCUUCAACUCUUCUUCUCUCUCACCUCCAUUUUUGCAUAUUUCAAAGAUUUAUAUUUAUAUGUAUAUGGAAUUAGCCGUCCUCGUAACAUAGAUUCUUUAUGUCCAAAAGAAUGACAUUUUCAAGUAACUCUUGCUCUAUGUCUUGUAGUCAUCAUCAGGCAUAAAGAAUAAGUUUCAGACAACAUCGAAAAUAAAAUUCAUUUUUUAAUUUGCAACAAUAUAUAUAUAUACUGAUACCAACAAAAUACAACAAAAUAAGCGUGUUUUAUGACUAAAGUCUAUGACUAUAGACUAUAGACUUUAAUUAAUGAACAAAAGACUUUAGACUUAUAAAAGACUUUUAAAAUAAAAGACUAAAGACUUUGAAAAUAAAAUGAUAAAGACUUGAAAACUUUAAAAACAAAGACUUACUUAUGCUUUUUAUUGUUUAUCGUAUAUAGACUUAUGUUUUCCAACAAAAACUUAAAGUUGAUAAAGACUUAUGCUUUUUAAUUUUUAUUGUAUAAAGACUUUAAAACUUGAUUUUAAACAAAGUCAUAUAUAUGUAGAGCGCUAAGAUUAUUACUAGGAUUUAAAUAAAUACAGAUACAAACAUUUAAAGAUAAAUCAUAACUGUGAACUAAAAUACUAUGAUUAAUUGGGUUUAUAUGAAUACUUAUAUAAUUCAUUAAAUAUAAUUUUACUUCAGAGUCAACACAAUAUUUCUGAUGUGGAAGAUCAGACUAAGCUGCAUCCACAGAGCAUACUUAUAACAAAUUUUAAUCAACAAUUUUAGCACAAAGGUUUAGGGUUCCUGCAACCUUAACCUAGGAUCCCCAGAAUUAAGUCAGAGUGUGGAGGGAGAAGAGAAAGGUGCCGUAAACACGGACUUAUAUUCGUAGCAGUUUAAAAUAAAAUACAAACUUUAUUUAAUUACAAAAUAUAAAUACAAGAUUUAAAACUUACAANNNNNNNNNNNNNNNNNAUAUAUAUAUAUAUAUAUAUAUUGUGAUGCAUUUAUGGUGAAAAAUAAUAACUGGGAAGAGGUAAACUUAGAACCAACUGAAGGGAAGUUAUCUCAAAAGAUCUACUAUUCUUCGAUGUCAGUACAGAUUUAGCUAUGAACAGGUCAGAAUGAAAACAAAAGAUUCGUAUAGUUUGAGAUUAAAGUUUAGUCGUAGCUAUAAUAAAAAUAUUUAUAUAUACAAUUGAAUUUAUAUUUAUUUUUCUUCUCUAACAGCAUAAUUAAGUGUGUAGAAGAUUUUCACAGGUACAGGUAUUAUUUUACUUGGAACGUAUAGUUUUAACUGGCAGCACUAGUUCGACUGGUUAAUUAUGCUAGUUUGUACUUAUUGGGAACUUGUUUACUAAUUGCUAUGCCAUUGACAAUUUCUGAUGCCACUCAAUAUGUUCUUUUAUGUUCAUAUAGGGGACGACCAAACUCUUGCUUUUUCGGGAUCUACAAUUACAAUGCCGUUUUGAUUUGUAAAAAGUCUUGCAUGUCUGUAUUUUCCUAGUCAGGGAAUUAAAAUUUCGACUUGGAGGCUUCACUUUGAUUACUAGCAAUAAUUUGAUAUGACGGCGGCGAAGUCUAGUUAUAGCUUUCCCAAAUAGUAGAGACUGAGGUGGAGUAAAUGGGUCCUUGUUGAUUGGCAUUGUGAAGGAAAAUGAGAAGGAACAAUCUACACAAACCAAGUUUUUUGUUAGAUCUUUGUCUUUUGAUAAAUAUUUUUUCUUGGAAUGAUUUCAAGCUUCCAACCUUCACAGUUCCCAAGAAGGCAGGACCGUCUUCUCGCACUGGAUCGAGUAAAAUUGGGCUAAUUUGUGUGGUGGGAGGAGGAAGACCAUGAAGAAAGGGUUAGAGAAAGACUUUUUAGUAUAAUCACGAGGGCAUCAUUUGUUAUUUUAAAAUAAUUUUCUCUCUUAUUUUUUCUUUUCAUCUUUUAACGGAAAACACAUAUUUUUGAAGGGAAGGAUCGAGACGGAAUCAAAUCAUGACGACUCAAUAUUUAAUAUACAACGAUAGGAGAUAGGAGAACAGGAUAAUUAAUUUUGUAAAACCUCAAAUUAUAAUAAUUAUUUUCAAAAAAAAAAAAAAACAGCACCUGAAAAGACGAGAUUGCAUAGCUGUAAUCGCCAUCUCCUCCAUUCAUUACACAUGCAUGAUUCCGCCAUUAACAUUUCCGAAAAAGCUUUAAAUAACUCAAUUCUCUCAAUAAUGAAGCAACUGUUUCUUUUUACAAGUUCUUGCACCUCCUUAGCAGAUGGAAUAUAAAAGGGGAGAUUGAACGAGUCCACUUGCACUUCUCUCACCAAUCCCUGUGCAUGUUUAAACAAAAAUGGAUUAAUUACAAUGGAGAAUUUCUUUAUGGGCGAGCUAUAACUUGGAAGGUCAUGAAUUUGAAUUGAAACAUUCAAAAAUAAGGGUAAGAGGCAAACAAUGGAGAACCUCCCAAAACCAUAUAAUAAGAUGCACAAAGAUAUCAAAUUUUACAAUAAGAUUACAGUAUGAUGAAGUAUAAUUGUAAUAACUGAUAUAAUUAAAUGUAUUUUUAGUAUAAUCACGAGUUCUGAAACUGACCUCUCUAGCCAUGUCCAUGAGGCUAGAUCCCAGAAUAUCAAACGACACGUUAAAUAUUCACAAGAAUGAGAAAUCCCAUCAUGGAUAGUUGGCACCACGAUUAAUAUAAUCCCACCAACCACAAGCUCUUUGGCUCUUGCAUCCAAAAAUAUCUCCAUAUCCUUUUCGAACUGGGUGGCGUAUGCUUUGCAUACUUCAUCUGAGGCACUAGUGUAGAAAAUUCUGCCCUUGUUCCAAACAGGAGAGUGGUUAUUUAGAAUCUCUUCUGGCAUCUGAGUUAGCCAAUGCAAUGAAGCGGAAGUGUGCAUUAGAUGAAGAGAGGACCUGGGGAAUAACCACCCAUGGAAUGACCCUGGCACGCCAGCAGCAAAGUAUCCCCUGUUUGGAUGUAGAGAUCUAAAUAGAGUAUUGAAAUCAUUCAAGACAUGAUCAUUGAGGAACACUUGAAAUUCAGGAAUUGGGGAAGCCAGACCUUGAGAAUGACACUUAUAUUUCACUGCUUCAAUAAUAUUUUCCAUACAAAUAAAGGUAUUUGGCCCAACUGAACAUCCUAAAUCCGCAAUGAACUUGAAGGACCAAAAAUGAGAUCGUUUAUGUUCAGAUUACGAGCAAUUGCCUCAUCAAUCAAACUUCCAGCAUUAUCAAUGACUUCCCUCUGCAAAUAAAGAUCAAAUAAUGCGAAAAAAAAAUUACAUAUAUUUCCUUUUACCAUUUUCUCUAACAUACAAAAUGAGUACCUGAAAUGAGGAAUUGUUAGAGUAGCUGUUGUCGUCAUCUCCUCCUUUCAUUGGAUAUAAUUCCACCAUUGACAUUGUGGCUGUGCUUUGGCUCGUUGUCUCUGUAUAAGCUAUGGGAUGGUUGUGGUGAGAAUUUUCGCAUCUUUUUUUACAUAUAUUAUUAUCAAAAAACUGUGUUAAAAAAUUAUUGUAAAAAGGGUUGUAGCCAUAAAGAGUAGGGUUCUGAUUCAAACUGAAUCAAAUCAAGGCAAAGAAUACUAACCGAAGUUUUUGGACAAUAGAUCAAAUCAAACUGAAAUUGGUAUCUGUACCAAAUCAAAUCAGUUGGUUCGGCCGGAUUUAGUUUGUUGCCAUAUCGAUUCAAUUUUAAGUUAAUUGAUGAAUUUCUAUAAAACUGACUUGAACUAAGUAAUAAAUUCGGUUUCAACAAAAUAAAUCGACAAAUUCGAUUCAAACCAAUCACUGAUCGAACAAAAUCAGAAUGUGUAGAUUUAGUUUAAGAUUCGAUUCGGUCGGUAAUAAAGAGUGGAAUUUUAAAACUUUUAAAAGAUAAACUAUUUUAUUUGUCAUAUAAAUCAAAGUGAUUUUGCGUUAAAAGUAAUGGCUUUCACUUUUAACGCAAAAUCACUUUGAUUUAUAUGAAAAAUAAAAUAAUUUAUCUUUUCAAAGUUUUAAAAUGUCUAUUUAUAAAAUAAUUAAAACUAAUCAAUUUAAUAUUUCUAAAAAAAAAUCAAUUUAUUUGAUAUCGAGCCGAUAUUAGAACCUUGAUAAGUUUAAAGUUUCCAAACCUAUAAUAAGCCUAAGAUGCUGAAAGACAUAACCAACCCAACAUAAUAAUAGCUAGCCUUUUAGCUAAUAAUUUCAUCAUAAAUAUCGGACCAUUCAUGUCCAUAUAAUAACCAAACAUUAACAUUAAUCAAUAUUGCGUUUAUGUCCUUUUAUAAAUUCUUUUGCCUAACUAUUAUUAAUAUUUUUAUAAAUUAAUAUUAGCUUGGCUAACAGACAAUGAUAGCAACAGCAAGAAAACUCAGCUAUCCUGUAAGUGCAUAAUUUCAUAGAAAAAAAAAAAAUACAAACCAUGUGCCGAAUUAGGUAAGCGUAGUGAUUUUCUCCAUUCACAUAAUAGAACACUCAGACAUUUUGCUUAAAGGAUUUGAGCUCUUUCCACUCAGACCAAUUGUUAGUUAAUUUUAUUGGACUUUCAAUGUUAUAAUAGGAUUUUAAUAUUUAUUCAAAUAUAUAAUCUCUCCUAUCUACUCAAUUUUAUUAUCAAUAUCAACUCUUACAAUGUGUUGCUGCUUAUUUAACAUUGAGAAGCAGGUCUUGCCCAUAUCAACAAGAAAACUUUAAAAAGAAAAUAUGCUUGUAAAUUAGAAAUCACAGAGAAUUGAUCACGCACGUUUUAGAGCAAGAAAUACUUGAGAAGUUUCUGCUAAGCUGGCCUGCAACUGGGAAGACAAUUCUUGCGUCUUCUUAAGAAACCGAUCAAACAAUUCAUCUAUAAUCCCACUUCAAAAUUUUGGCUAAUAAUUCAUCUUUUUCAGAUAAAAUAACUAGGACUCAAAGUACCGUGUCUUUCUUGUUCAGCAAUUGCUACAGUAAAAGUACAAAAUCUACUAGUGACAUUCUUGUGUAAGUAGGACUUAAUGGAAAAUGUCAUAGCUCCUAGUUUGUAUGAAAUUCUCCAUACAGUUCAUGCCAAUGCCUACUUUAUAAAGUGGGACAUGAUUUAUCACUGAUGAGAGCAUGGACUCUUAGACUGGAGAAACGAAUAUAAAACAGUCAACAACUUCAAGUUUUAUAAAAGAUGUAUGGAUUGAUUUGAUAUGUUUAUUUGAAAAGUUUAUCUUGAUUCCUAUAUCUUUUUCUUCUUGUCCUCGUUUGUUUUUUUGUGUGUGUGUGUGUGUGUGUGUUUGUCAGGACUUGGUAUUUAUGGUGGAUAAUAUGUGAAUGAGAUAACCAUAUUCUGAUAUUUGCCUUGAUAAAAACUUGUUUGAUGUGUCUUCUUUAUUUUUCUUCAAUUUGAUGUUUUCGUGACCUUAAGUUUAACUCUUAAUUAGAAAAACUUUGUUUAUUGCUAUGCAUGUGGUUCUACCCAUAGCUGUUUAUAUAUAAAUAUAUCUAUUUUUUCCCGAAGUCAUUUUGCCCACAAUUGGAUAUAACUAUAACAUAUUUCCAUAAAGGGCUUUAUAUAUCUCCAUUUUUUUUUUUUGGGCAGUUACAUUUUGCUCCAUCUCUCAAAGUCAAGCAAUUUCUUAAUUUUAAUAAAUUUGUUGUUUGUCCAGGACACAGCAAGGGCCAUUCUGAAGAAUGCUGCUGGCGUGGUGGUUAUUGAUGAUCGGGCAUCCAAUCACUUCCCAACGCCAUUGGAGAUAUCAAACAAAGAUGAUGUUGCAGUCGGUAGAAUCCGCCGUGAUGUUUCUCAAGAGGGGAAUCAUGGGUAAAACUCACUUGCAAGCUAUUUUUUUUUUUUUCCCACUAAAUAAUUAAAUAGCCUUUAUAGACCAUCUUACUAAUGCUGGAAUUCCAAGCAGGUUGGAUAUAUUUGUUUGUGGGGAUCAGAUACGCAAGGGCGCUGCACUUAAUGCCAUUCAGAUUGCUGAGUUGCUGCUAUAGUCCCCUUUAGUUUUAGUUUUAGGUUCCAUAUAAUGCUCUUAUUUAGUGUGAUGAGGCCAGGUGGUUUUGGAUCAUAAGCUAUUUUCUAGUCUUCACUUGCAGAUAUUCAUUGAUAUAAUGAGGUUGAGCAAAUUCGAAAAGUUCCUGUACUAUAAGUUUGUUACGUUGCCCCUUUGAAGUUUCACUUGAUUGUAUUCAUAUGCUCUGUCUUUACAAUGAAGUAAAAUUUUGUUAUAUUGUAUUCAUAUGCCAUAGCUGGACACUGUAUGAGGAUGUAUUGCAGUAGACUCAUUGAAUCUCAAUCUACUGCAAUGGGAUAUUUCUCGCUCGCAUAUUUUAUGUACAAAGAUUCUCUUACCAUUGAGUAAGUCAUAGCCUCCAAUCGGACCAAUCCACUUAACAAGAAAAGAUCACUAGUUGUUCUUUCUCUCUUUCUUUUUUGGAUUUGCAUGUGUGAUUUCAUAUUCGGGUCAGGACUGGUGUUCAGAUGCUCCGUGAAGACUGGUAUUAUAGCGACUCUUGGUAUGCUACCACAUUACUAAGCCUUAAUUUUUCACAGAAAUUGUGAUGAGGAUAUCGGAGAAGCAACUCAAGAAGCAGCGUCCUGUUAAACAUUUCGACAUUUUUCCUGAAGGAUUAUUCUGUGACCGAGGACACAAGCUCACUCCAAAAGUUUAUUCUCUUGUUACAUUUUUUAGGGUCAAGUUUGAACUAUACAUGAAAGCCGAUCCCACCUCUCAUUCACUAGCAAGUUGAGGAAUUGACUCUCCAUGGGAAGCAUAAUUAGUGAGAAUAGUUUUUAUUUUUCAUUUCAUGCAUUAGAAAUUCUUUUAUGGCACCGUUUGGAAAAGUUUAUAUGCAAUAAUUUUUCAACUUAUAAUUGUAUUAGAAGAAUUGAAUUUCAUUCUUAUAAUCUUAUGUAAAAAUUGUUUCACGUACCAUGUAAAGCGGUAAUGAAUUCAAUUUAUUAUUUUAUUUUCUUCAUUAUCUAUGUUUAUUCAAAUAAAUUCAAUAAUAAUCCGAAUGAAGUAGUUCGGUGAUAAAGAAUACUUACGGAGUAAAUCACUAUGAUUUGAGUCAUAGGUUUGAUCCUCCGUCAACGCAAAUUUUUCUGGGCCAAUCCUUUUGCCUCCAAAAGCGAGUAAAAAUUAAUUAGAUUUGUGGGUUGUCAAAAUGGACACGGGCCGAAUACUUCGAGCAAUGCCUCAAUUUGACAAUUAACUUCUGAAAGGGUUUUGGAUUGAUUGACAUAUGUUGUUUAAAUUUGUAACUAUAUUCUACAUUUUUUUUUUUUUGCUUGUCAUGUUUAAACAGGAAUCUAAACACAGACACCUGAGAGAGUAAACUAAUAUUUUUAUUUUUCUUAUUGAUAAAAAACUAAAUAAAUCUAAUUAAUAUUAGUUACAAAUAAUUUCUUUUAAUAAAUUUCGCUUGCUUAAUAAAAAAUCUCAUAAAUAAAAUUUCCUUGUGUUAUUUAAAUUAAAGACAUAAAACGAGUAAACUAGCCAUCCUAUUCCUUCCCUCGUAGGAAUCGGAGAUUGGCCACUUACGCAGUCAAAGCAAAAGCGGUUGAGUUGAGUUGAGAAGGAUGGAUGAUUAAAAACGGCGUUAAGGUUUUAGCUAAGGUCGUCAACACUUGAUAACUUCAUCUUCUACUUCACGAGGAAGUUUAAACUUUCAAAGAAUAAUUAUUUAAGGUAACGACAAAGGUUCUCUCUUGUGGAGAGCAGGAUGAGGUGGCCCCUUCCUUCCUUGCAAUUAGCAAUGAUAGAAAACCUUAUUUUCCUUUGUCCUUUCCAAGUUUCUUCUAUUUCCAUAAAAUACAUAAGGAACGUUUACUCUCUUAUCCAUGUAAAUACUGUAACAUUUACAGUGGUGUUUAGAUUUUAAGAGGAGGAAUAAUGAAAUGUUAUUUUUUUAAAUAUUUAAUAAAACGCCAAUAAAACAAUUCAUGGUUAAAUAUUAUUAAAAUAACGAAAUUUACACCGUCUUUUUUAGAUAACUUUCUAAUAAAUUUUUAUUUAUUUAUUGAAAUACCUUGAUAUUUUAAAAAUUGUUACUUAUUAAAAAAUGUUAUUCAAAAUCUUCUAAAAGAACAUUUUAUUCAAACUAAAAAAAUCACUCAUUUAACACUGUUUACAUUAAUUAACUAGUUAUUUGUUCUAAUAGGAUACAAGUUACCUUGAAUGAUAAUUAACUUAUUUCAACUAAGACAUGAAGCGGAAUGUUAGAAAAUCGUGAGUUAUCUAUUUUGAUAAAAGAAAAUAGUUAUCCUAGUUCUAUUUGAUACCUUUUUUUUUUCCUCAAAUACUUAUUAUAUUUAGAUAUUUCACUUCUCUUAAUUAAGAAAAUCAUUUAAUUUAUAAUAAAUUAUUCAGUGAGUUUAUUAUAUUAUUUUUAAUUUUUUAUUUGAGUUAAAAUCAUUCAACUGAUAUUGAUCAUAAUAAAAUAAAAAAUUUAUUAUUUAUUAAAUCCAUGAAUGUAAUAAGUAUUUAAUAUAUAUAUAUUUUUAAAUUUGACAAGUACUUGCGGUAAUGGUUUUUAGGGUAAAAAUUCAAGAUUUGGAAAUGGAGACAUUUUUUGAAACUUGCAUGUAAGAUUGCAAGUGAUUGGAUAAAUUGGUAUCAGAGACCGCGAUGUAUUCACGCGGAGGAGUGGUCCCAAUAAACGGGACAAUAAUAUGGGCUUUCACUAUAGUGUAUCCGGACUACAAGCAUUAUAUAAACACUAUCCAAUAGUUUUUAUCCACGUCAGCAAAUUCAAGCAGUAGCGUCCGUUACUUACCGCGUUAACGUAUGUCGACGUCAUAAUAAACGUCAACCUAGAAAGAGUGCUGCGAUGGAGGGAAUCAUGGCUUUUUUUUUUCUUCUUGUGUACGAGGGCAACACAGUGUCACAGAGAGACUUACAUUGACUGAUUGGAGAAAAAGCAGAUGAAAAUUUGCUUGCUCAAAGACAGAGAAAGAGCGACUUGAAUGUGAAACUGUUUCUAUCGCUGGUUUCGUUUCUGGUUUCUUGGAUGAGAACUGAAGUGGUUUAAUUUGAGUGAGCGAGUGAUAAUUUGGUUUCUUUAUUUUACUUUUCUGGUAAGGUCUCAAACCUUUAUUUGAUUCUUUGAUUGCUUUCUUUCCAAGUAUAAUUUCCAGAAUGUGGAUACAUCCAUUAAAAAAAGUUUUCAUCCUUAUGCUAAAUUUUACUUUUUUUGGGAGUCUGUUUUCUUUUAAUUUUUAGAUAAAUGAGAUUGCUUUAUUAGCCUCUUUAGUGUAGGUGGCUUUGAUUCUGGAAUACAUAUAUUAUUGAUGUACUCUAUGAGUGUUUUGUGUUAUCAGAUUCGUAGUUGAUUUUUUUUUUUUUUGGCAAUUCUGUGUUUUCUUUUACCAAUAUAUCCAUCUCUCUCUUCUUGUGAAAUUUACUUAGAAAAGGUGAUUCGGUUAUUUUAUUUAUAUCGGCUUGCAAUAGCUGGCAUAUAAUUGGGGCAUUGUGGCUAUAUCUGACAAGGAUCGAUGUGGUAUGGUUUUUGAUAAAGAUUAAUGAUGGAAGAGUAAUAAAAGGAUAAACUUGUUAAUGAUUCAAAAACCAUGCUUGGAUGCUGAACGCAAUUUUAGGUUUUUAGAUUGAGUGAUUUUCAGCUUUUAGCAGUUCUUGAUGAUAGUGUAGUUAUAAGCAUUGUUUUGUUUUUCUUAUUUAUUUCAUUGCAGUGUCUUAUAUUUUUUUGACAUAAGCUAUAAAUUUCAUCACAUCAAUCUGAGUAAAAUGCUUGGCUUCUUUGUGCAUUCCAUUGUUUUUGUGUUAAAUGCAAUGCUAUUUUUUCUUGCCUCUGUUGCUUUCCACAUAGAGUUUGUGUUUUCAAUGAUUCUAUUUAAUCUCGAAUAUUGAUUUCAUUUCAAAAUCGUUAUACUUCAGGUUGUGGUUAACAUGUAUUUGGUGCUGAUUCUGGACAUGCGUGUAAACCCUUUGAUUCUCCACAUUUGUUCGGAGUUCAUAUUUAGAUUAUGCUGAUAUAAUUAUUCAUUAAGGAAGCCAUUGAUUAAAUUCAUAACCAGCACAUGGUGGAUCCUGCAUUAUUUUGCCAUAGUAGUUACAGAGUCAUAUUUGGAAGCUUGUGGGGGUCUGUUCAUAAUCACGAAAUUUUUAUUUAUAAGUUAUUACCUUUCAUAUUUUCUACAUUGGAUUAGCUUUAUGAUUGACCGCAUGACAAUGCCUACAAGAAAGUUAUACUCAGAAUCUUUGAUCAUUUACAUUGUGGAAGUGCAUAUCUCCCUAAAAAUUUCGGAGCGUUAGUAUCUGUAGUGGGUGAUUCAGUUUGUUCUAUUUUGACUACAGAAUUUCUUUGAUGGGUAAGACGAUUCAGGUGUAUGGAUUCCCUUCCCAUGUGACUGUAGAUGAAGUCAAGAAGUUUCUGGAAUCACAUUCAGGGGAAGGAACUGUUUUUGCAAUGAAGAUCAGGGAAACCAAAAAUAGGGGUCGAAGAAAAUAUGCUAUUGUUCAAUUCCAGACUGCCAGAGAUGCUGAAUUAAUUAUAUCUUUGACUAAUAAACGUCUUCGGUACGGCACUUCAUAUCUCAAGGCUCGGCCUUUGGAUAAUGAUAUUGUACCAAAGCCCAGAACGUUUUUACACAGCAUGGACCAUAUAACACUGCAUUUUGGAUGUCAGAUAUCAAAAGAAAAGUUUUCUGUUCUAUGGACAGGGACAAAUGUUUCGGUGAAUUUUGGAUUUGGAAUGAGAAAAUUGCAAUUUUUUCUAUCUCAUGGACAAAUGGGCUACAAGCUUGAACUUUCUUAUGAGAAUGUUUGGCAGAUGGAGCUACAUUGUCCACGAGGUCGAUCUGUGAAAUAUCUUCUAAUUCAGGUUUCUUCAAUAUAUUUUAUUUAAUUUUUGGAUUAUUAAAUACCGUUUCUUGAUACUCUUACAGCAUUUUUCUCUGUUAUUUGAAAUUCUUUAUAGGGCUUUUUCGAACCUUGGAAAUGCCUUUUUUGCCCUGUUAUUUAUUGCACGGAUGAACUAUGUUUUCCUUUUACAUAAACAAAUUGUUGAGCUGCAUAGUGGGCAUAGUAAUUAAAGGCGCAAGGGGCACCUAUGCGCAAAGAGCUAUUGGAGCCUAGGUGCUAGCCUGAGUGAAGUGAGGCGCGAAAAUUAGAAAUAAAUAAAACACAUAAACAAAAAAAAAGGCAACAAGACAAGUUAUAUUGUAAGAUAUUGGAGUUAAGAUAGAAAAGUAAAAUCACGAAAUGAAAAAAAGAAAAAAAAGAAAGAAAGAAUAUAGAAAGCAAAUUGGAAGAGAAAUUGAGAGAGGCAUGUCUGAAUGGCUGUUAGCCAAAGGCUAGACUGGAGGGGGUGAGUGCUAGAUGGAGUGGAGGCUGGAUCUAAAGCAUAUCAUUGGUUUUUGUGAUAUAAUGACAAAGGAUUCAUAUGCCCAACCUCAACUAGUUUGGGGUUAAGGCCUUUAUUGUUGUUAUGUUGUUGUAGUAGAUACUGGGCUAGACAGUUUUAUAUUCAAAGGCGACUUGUUAAAACAAAAAUUAGAAAGACGGGCCUUUCUUGGGCCUAAGGCCGAAAAAGGCCCAAAAAGGCUAGUCGCCGGCCUGCGGACUGUUGAGUCAUAAUCCCUUGAAUUUGAAGUUGAACCUUAAGUAAGGCAUGAGGCACGCCUUUAAUGAGUAUGAUGGUGUGAAAAUGAAUUCUCUUAUUAGUAGUAAAUUGAACAAUUUACUUAUAUCUCGGUUACGACUAAAGCAUGAUACAUGCAUGUAUUUUUUUUUUCCUUGCCAUAUGUGGUGUUAUCAAGAAAAUUUGGAUAUUCCUAUUGGUUUGCUUGAACUUUCUGCUGGCUUUUCUAACAGACUGAAUACCUUUUUGAACUAAUAAGUUAAUUAUUUGUUUCUUUUGGUGUCCAAACAUGGGCUUAGAGUUUUCGCUCAUUCGUGGUUUUGAUUUCUUACAUAUGUGUGUCUGCAGUCUGAGUCUAAUUGUUUUAAUUGACAAUUUUUCUACUGGUCAGCCGUGCAUUAUAUAUUUCAGGCAAAAUAAUUAGCAUUCGGAAUAUAGAAAUUGUGCUGAUUAACUCAGAAAGCGUUAAAGCAGUGCUAUUGUUUGACAUGUAUUGAUGUCAAAUAUAUGAUCAGAGACUGGUUUUUAUGCAUGUGAGGGUAUAAAGCACUAGGCACUUGUUAAAAAUUUAAAAUCUUGUCCAAACUCUUGACUGAUGUUUGCUGGUUCUUUAAUCAUUCUGCAGAUAUUUUAACUCUUUUAGAUUUAAGUGAUAUGCUUUAUCUUUAGUUCUCAAUCUUUCAUGCUUCACUGGUCUUCUGCACAUGGUCUGUGCACGUGUCGUUACCCACCUCUGUUUAAAUAACUUACCGUUUAUCCAAAAACUAGCAAAAUAAGGUACUCUUGAUGGAUAGGGGCACAGAGAUUUUAAUAUGGUUUUAUCAAUAAAAUUGGCAAACUUUCUAUCUCAGGGAAUUUGAAAGAGUUGUCCCUUGGUUAAGUUUACUAAUAUGAGGAUCUUAUCAGGCAAGAUAGCUGAAUUCCUUUUUCCUGCUGGUAGAAAUGUGGCAUUUGUGAUUCACUGACUUGCCAAAAUAAAUGGGAAGUGGAAUCUAAGGCCAAGGGUUUACUUACUUGGGAAUUGAAAGGUGCUUACUGUUUUGCUGAAUAAAAAAAAGCUGUAUGUCAUGUAAAAAGUUUCCCUUUUCCUUAUUUUUCUUUCUGUUGGUAAUUUGUGCUUUUAUUGGGUUCAUUUAUGUCAUUAGUCUGAAUGUGAUGCAUACAAUAAUCAAACAAUUUGUGCUAUCUCUUUUUUCAUGUAAGAUUUCAAGUAAAAAUGCAAACUGCUAAUUUGGUUUCUGUUUUUUUAGUUAUAUGGUGCACCCCGAAUUUUUGAGAAAGAGAUUGCAACAUUUAAUGUGUUUGAGAUUCCGCUUUUCAACGACUUGAAGGAUACCCCUGAUGAGCAAUGGGUCAGGACAAUCGAUUUCACACCAUUCUGCCUUAUUGGGCAUUCAUCUGGAUUAUGUUUGGAGUUUCCUUCCAGCAUUAAUGUUCCAAAAUUUCAGGAGAACUUUUCUUACUAUAAAGAAAGUGAAGGAAUUUUUGUUUUGGAGAAUGGCAAUGCUUUUUC